RNAcentral lists this ribosomal RNA (254 nucleotides) under uncultured bacterium. RNAcentral's name for it is "partial 16S ribosomal RNA". It matches the Rfam family "Bacterial small subunit ribosomal RNA", at positions 524 to 776 of the family's 1533-position model. The record is from RNAcentral.
UACGGGGGGAGCAAGCGUUGUUCGGAUUUACUGGGCGUAAAGGGCGCGUAGGCGGCCAGCACAAGUCAGUUGUGAAAUCUCCGAGCUUAACUCGGAAAGGUCAACUGAUACUGUGCGGCUAGAGUGCAGAAGGGGCAACUGGAAUUCUUGGUGUAGCGGUGAAAUUCGUAGAUAUUCGGAGGAACACCAGUGGCGAAGGCGACUCGCUGGACUGAUACUGACGCUGAGGUGCGAAAGCGUGGGGAGCAAACAGG